Molecule: ribosomal RNA, 440 nt
Filed under: uncultured bacterium
Lineage: Bacteria
Description: bacterial SSU rRNA
Rfam family: Bacterial small subunit ribosomal RNA
Source: RNAcentral
CCUACGGGUGGCAGCAGUGGGGGAUAUUGCACAAUGGGGGAAACCCUGAUGCAGCAACGCCGCGUGAAGGAAGAAGGUCUUCGGAUUGUAAACUUUUGUCCUCAGUGAAGAUAAUGACGGUAGCUGAGGAGGAAGCUCCGGCUAACUACGUGCCAGCAGCCGCGGUAAUACGUAGGGAGCGAGCGUUGUCCGGAUUUACUGGGUGUAAAGGGUGCGUAGGCGGACUGGCAAGUCAGUGGUGAAAACUAUGGGCUUAACCCAUAGACUGCCAUUGAAACUGUUGGUCUUGAGUGAAGUAGAGGUAGGCGGAAUUCCCGGUGUAGCGGUGAAAUGCGUAGAGAUCGGGAGGAACACCAGUGGCGAAGGCGGCCUACUGGGCUUUAACUGACGCUGAGGCACGAAAGUGUGGGUAGCAAACAGGAUUAGAUACCCCUGUAGUC